UAGAGUUCGGGCCGCACGCGCGCUACACUGACAGAGCCAGCGAGUCUACCACCUUUGCCGGAAGGCAUGGGUAAUCUUGUGAAACUCUGUCGUGAUGGGGAUAGAGCAUUGCAAUUAUUGCUCUUCAACGAGGAAUACCUAGUAAGCGUGAUUCAUCAGAUCGCGUUGAUUACGUCCCUGCCCUUUGUACACACCGCCCGUCGCUACUACCGAUUGAAUGGCUUAGUGAGGCCUCCGGAUUGGCUAUUGGGAGCUCGCGAGAGCACCCGACUGCCGAGAAGUUGUACGAACUUGGUCAUUUAGAGGAAGUAAAAGUCGUAACAAGGUUUCCGUAGGUGAACCUGCGGAAGGAUCAUUAGUGAACAUAGGACGUCCAACUUAACUUGGAGUCCGAACUCUCACUUUCUAACCCUGUGCAUUUGUUUGGGGUAGUAGCCUUUCGGGGCGAAUCCCUAUUCACUUAUAAACACAAAGUCUAUGAAUGUAUUUAAUUUUAUAACAAAAUAAAACUUUCAACAACGGAUCUCUUGGCUCUCGCAUCGAUGAAGAACGCAGCGAAAUGCGAUAAGUAAUGUGAAUUGCAGAAUUCAGUGAAUCAUCGAAUCUUUGAACGCACCUUGCGCUCCAUGGUAUUCCGUGGACAGCCUGUUUGAGUGUCAUGAAUACUUCACCCUCCUCUUUCUUUAUGAUCGAAAGGUGUUGGAUUCUGACGUUUGCUGGCUCACGGUCGACCCUCGUAAGCAUACACCGCAUCGACUCGGAUGCUGGGUAUA
Molecule: ribosomal RNA, 773 nt
Filed under: Sporidiobolales sp. LM462
Lineage: Eukaryota; Fungi; Basidiomycota; Microbotryomycetes; Sporidiobolales
Description: bacterial SSU rRNA
Rfam family: Eukaryotic small subunit ribosomal RNA (bases 1-358)
Source: RNAcentral